GUCAGCUUGAGUCACUUCAUUGAUGACAGCAGUAUGAUAAUUACUUUUGAACAAUUCUGAGCAGAGUCACAUGCUCAAUAAUAAAACAAACACUGUAUAAACUGUUUGCUCUGACUUUUCUAAAGAGAAUUUUUUAUUGCACUUGGAAGAUGCCAGAGUGCCAUACAUUUAUCUUAUUUAUACAGCUGAGCAGUGGAGGGUUAAGGGCCCAAGAGUGGCAGCACUGGGAUUUGAACUCAAAACCUUCCAAUCAGUAUUCUGACAUCUUAUCCAUUGAUCCACCCCUGCCCUGGAAUUAUCCAACAUCUUACACACUGAUCCACCCCUGCCCUGGAAUUACCCAACAUCUUAUCCACUGAUCUACCCCUGCCCUGGAGUCAACCAACAUCUUAUCCACUGAUCUACCCCUGCCCUACAGUCACCAACAUCUUAUCCACUGAUGCAGCCCUGCCCUGGAGUCACCCAACAUCUUAUGCACGGAUCUACCCCUGCCCUGGAGUCAACAAACAUCUUAUCCACUGAUCCACCCCUGGCCUGGAAUUACCCAACAUCUUAUCCACUGAUCCACCCCUGCCCUGGAUCACCCAACAUCUUAUGCACGGAUCUACCCCUGCCCUGGAGUCAACAAACAUCUUAUCCACUGAUCCACCCCUGGCCUGGAAUUACCCAACAUCUUAUCCACUGAUCCACCCCUGCCCUGGAGUCACCAACAUCUUAUCCACUGAUCUACCCCUGCCCUGGAGCCAACCGACAUCUUAUCCACUGAUCCACCCCUGGCCUGGAGCCAACCAACAUCUUAUCCACUGAUCCACCCCUGCCCUGGAUCAACCAACAUCUUAUCCACUGAUCCAUCCUUGCCCUGGAAUCACCCAACAUCUUAUCCACGGUUCCACCCCUGCCCUACAGUCACCAACAUCUUAUUCACUGAUCCACCCCUGCCCUGGAGUCACCAACAUCUUAUUCACUGAUCCACCCCUGCCCUGGAGUCAACCAACAUCUUAUCCACUGAUCCAUCCCUGUCCUGGAAUCUCCCAACAUCUUAUCCACUGAUCCAUCCCUGUCCUGGAAUCUCCCAACAUCUUAUCCACGGUUCCAUCCCUGCCCUGGAGUCAGCAGCAUCUUAUACACUGGUCUACCCCUGCCCUGGAGUCAACCAACAUCUUAUCCACUGAUCUACCCCUGCCCUGGAAUCACCCAACAUCUUAUCCAUGGUUCCACCCCUGCCCUGGAGUCAACCAACAUCUUAUCCACGGAUCUACCCCUGCCCUGGAGCCAACCAACAUCUUAUCCACUGAUCCACCCCUGCCCUGGAGCCAACCAACAUCUUAUCCACUGAUCCACCCCUGCCCUGGAGUCACCAACAUCUUAUCCACUGAUCCACCCCUGCCCUGGAGCCAACCAACAUCUUAUCCACUGAUCUACCCCUGCCCUGGAUCAACCAACAUCUUAUCCACUGAUCUACCCCUGCCCUG
Molecule: long non-coding RNA, 1472 nt
Organism: Ictalurus punctatus (channel catfish)
Lineage: Eukaryota; Metazoa; Chordata; Actinopteri; Siluriformes; Ictaluridae
Source: Ensembl